AGUGAACGCUGGCGGUAGGCCUAACACAUGCAAGUCGAACGGCAGCACAGUAAGAGCUUGCUCUUACGGGUGGCGAGUGGCGGACGGGUGAGGAAUACAUCGGAAUCUACUUUUUCGUGGGGGAUAACGUAGGGAAACUUACGCUAAUACCGCAUACGACCUACGGGUGAAAGCAGGGGAUCUUCGGACCUUGCGCGAUUGAAUGAGCCGAUGUCGGAUUAGCUAGUUGGCGGGGUAAAGGCCCACCAAGGCGACGAUCCGUAGCUGGUCUGAGAGGAUGAUCGGCCACACUGGAACUGAGACACGGUCCAGACUCCUACGGGAGGCAGCAGUAGGGAAUAUUGGGCAAUGGGCGCAAGCCUGAUCCAGCCAUACCGCGUGGGUGAAGAAGGCCUUCGGGUUGUAAAGCCCUUUUGUUAGGAAAGAAAAGCAGCAUGUUAAUACCCCGCUGUUCUGACGGUACCCAAAGAAUAAGCACCGGCUAACUUCGUG
Molecule: ribosomal RNA, 492 nt
Filed under: uncultured bacterium
Lineage: Bacteria
Description: partial 16S ribosomal RNA
Rfam family: Bacterial small subunit ribosomal RNA
Source: RNAcentral